UGUUAGUGGCGGUGGAAAUUUUGUUUGUUCCACGCGUGAAACAUCUCGGGAAAAUAUUCCCCACCCCCAGUCCCCUUACAUAUUAAGGAAACUAACCGUUACAAAAUUUUGUCAAGAUUACAAAAUACCAAUCGCAAAAAAAAAUCGGUUCGUCUGAUUCUUGGAGAGUAUCUAGAGAGAAAAGUGACCUGUUUCUUGGAAUAUUGAGUUAGCAAAGUUGAAACUUGUGGGUUUUGGAAUAGUAUGGCUUUCUUUCUUACACUGUUGAAUGCUUUUUGAGUGAACAUUUUCCCCGUAAUGGUUUAAAUAUCUUGACCAUACAUUUAAUCUCCGCCUCAUCCAAAAACGUAUUCCUUGCAAAUCUUUCUGCUGCUGAAAAAUAGUUUUCGGACGGUCAAAAAGAGGUCAGAACCCAAACCAUGUCAAAACCAAGGUGAGUUUGUGUUUUGCUUUGCUGAACGCGAUGUGUUACUCUGGUGCAUAUAUACAUACUUACGUUGACAGGUUUAUAUAUGAAUAACAUGAUUAAAGGAAGAUGAAUUAAAGCAAGUAAUAAUGACAACUUGUAACUAUGCAAGAUUUUGGAGUGUGCAUUCAAGAUUUGAGACUUAUGUUUUGCAGGUAUCUCAAAUAUAGAAUUAAAAAGACGAGUGAGUAAAAUCUCUCUAAGAUUUUGUCUUGUGUAUAUUAUUAUUUUUAAAGCACGGAUAUUAGAGGUUGGCAACGAAAUGAAAGAUUAGGGGUGUUUAUCUGUUCGGUUUGAAAGUUAAAGGAAUAUUGGAUUUUAAUAAUAGCUAUUCGCCGUGGCUGCCAACAGUCCCAACUUCAAAAAUAACCACUGACAGUCCCAGCUAUUAACAUGUUGGCCUCCAAUGGACACUGACUAACAGAACUCUAACGCCGUUAGUCUUUGGUCGUCGGAAAAACGUUUUUGGCCGGAAAACUAAAUUUUUUUUGUCCCAAAACUCUUUGUAAUCCUCUUACGGACUUUUAAGAACUUUUUUCUAGUAAAAGCUCCAAUUAUUGAAGUCGCCGGAAAACUUCUUUUGGCCGGAAAACUCAACGUUUUGGUCGAAAAACUCAACAUUUUCAUCCCAAACCUCUUUGUAACAUUAGAUCUGACCUUUAGAAACCUUUUUCUGGUAAAAAAAACAGUUUUCCAGAGACUAACGACAUUAGAGUUCUGUUAGUCAGGGUUUAUUGGUGGACAAUAUGUCAAUAGUUGGGACUGACAGUGGUUAUAUUUAAAGUUGAGAUCGUUGACGGCAAACAACAAAUUGUUGAGGUUAUUAAAAUUCAAUAUUCAAAAGUUAAAUGGGGAGUUCGAAGUGGUGGGGUUUUUUAAUUUUUAAAUUUUGGCAUGAUGUUUCUUUCAUGAUGACAUGGUUUGUAC
This 1393-nucleotide long non-coding RNA is filed under the name Helianthus annuus (common sunflower). Its description in RNAcentral is "sRNA HanXRQr2_Chr16g0766201". The record is from RNAcentral. Lineage: Eukaryota; Viridiplantae; Streptophyta; Magnoliopsida; Asterales; Asteraceae.